Solanum dulcamara is the source of this 566-nucleotide long non-coding RNA. RefSeq lists it as uncharacterized. The transcript is spliced from 4 exons. NCBI's taxonomy places the organism in Eukaryota, Viridiplantae, Streptophyta, Magnoliopsida, Solanales, Solanaceae. The record is from RefSeq and is a predicted model, not a curated record.
CCAAAAUCUUCUCCAAAAGGACCAAAACAAUUGCCCCUCUUUCACAAACCUAGCUGCCUUUCCCUUUCUCUUCCCUCUCUCAACACAAUAUUCCCUCUUUUGCUUUCCUCUCAAAUCAGCGACAAUCAGAUAUUUUGUACUUUUUGGCUCGUGGGUGUGUAGAGAUCUUGUUGUCUCUUUUAUGUAUGUAGUAGAAGCUCUAAGUUGUACUCAACAAUGGCUACCAUCACCUUCUAAAGAAUACAAUUUUCACGACAGUUUAGAAGAAGUCCAGAACAUCGAGCAAGUUGAUGAAGAGUAUCGAGACUCACCUUUGAGCAUUAAUUAGCCAGUUUCGUUCAUGAUGCACUAUCUGUGUGAGAAUUGAUAAGGAAAUAGAACCAGAUAUGCAGAUUGCUUCCAACAUUAUGUUUCUUGAGUUUAAUUUAGAGAUGAAGCAACUUCAGUUGUAAUAGUCUAGAGAUGAUUUAGAGUAUACUCAAACUCUAAGUUGGAUUUUUGUUUUGUGACAUCUGACAUAAGCUGUACCUUAAUUUUAUGGAAGAAACUAUAUUAGUUUUUGUUUA